RNAcentral lists this ribosomal RNA (487 nucleotides) under uncultured Bacteroidota bacterium. RNAcentral's name for it is "bacterial SSU rRNA". It matches the Rfam family "Bacterial small subunit ribosomal RNA", at positions 355 to 843 of the family's 1533-position model. Lineage: Bacteria; Pseudomonadati; Bacteroidota. The record is from RNAcentral.
UAGGGAAUAUUGGUCAAUGGGUGAGAGCCUGAACCAGCCAUGCCGCGUGCAGGAAGAAGGCCUUCUGGGUUGUAAACUGCUUUUGCCAGGGGAUAAAAUGACCUUGCGAGGUUAAUUGAAGGUACCUGGUGAAUAAGCCACGGCUAACUACGUGCCAGCAGCCGCGGUAAUACGUAGGUGGCAAGCGUUGUCCGGAUUUAUUGGGUUUAAAGGGUGCGUAGGCGGCCCUGUAAGUCAGUGCUGAAAUAUUCCAGCUUAACUGGGAGGGUGGCAUUGAUACUGUGGGGCUAGAGUACAGAUGAGGUAGGCGGAAUUGACGGUGUAGCGGUGAAAUGCUUAGAUAUCGUCAAGAACACCUAUAGCGAAGGCAGCUUACUAGGCUGUAACUGACGCUGAGGCACGAAAGUGUGGGGAUCAAACAGGAUUAGAUACCCUGGUAGUCCACACUGUAAACGUUGAUUACUCGCUGUGUGCGAUAUACAGUACG